AUUGAACGCUGGCGGCAGGCCUAACACAUGCAAGUCGAACGAGCGGCGGACGGGUGAGUAAUGUCUGGGGAUCUGCCUGAUGGAGGGGGAUAACUACUGGAAACGGUAGCUAAUACCGCAUACCAUCGGAUGAGCCCAAAUGGGAUUAGCUUGUAGGUGGGGUAAAGGCUCACCUAGGCGACGAUCCCUAGCUGGUCUGAGAGGAUGACCAGCCACACUGUAGCUGUGACACGGUCCAGAUGCCUAGGGUAGGCAGCAGUGGUGAAUAUUGCACAAUGGUCGUAAGCCUGAUGCACCCAUGCCGCGUGUAUGAAGAAGGCCUUCGUGUUUUAAAGUACUUUCCGCGGGCAGGCGUUUCCCGCAGAAGAAUCUCCGGCUCACUCCGGUCCCGCAGCCGCGGUAAUAC
RNAcentral lists this ribosomal RNA (406 nucleotides) under uncultured bacterium. Its description in RNAcentral is "partial 16S ribosomal RNA". It matches the Rfam family "Bacterial small subunit ribosomal RNA", at positions 30 to 526 of the family's 1533-position model. The record is from RNAcentral.